GCAAGUCGUACGAGAAAGUUCCUUCGGGGGCGAUUAAAGUGGCGCACGGGUGAGUAACGCGUAGGUUACAUACCUUGAGACGGGUGACAACAGAGAGAAAUUUCUGCUAAUACCGCAUAGUUAAGGAGAUUUUGGAAGAAUCCUUAUAAAGAUGGCCUCUCCUUGGAAGCUAUCGUCUCGAGAAUGGCCUGCGUACCAUUAGCUUGUUGGUGGGGUAAUGGCCUACCAAGGCAGUGAUGGUUAACCGGUCUGAGAGGAUGAUC
This 263-nucleotide ribosomal RNA is filed under the name uncultured bacterium. RNAcentral's name for it is "partial 16S ribosomal RNA". It matches the Rfam family "Bacterial small subunit ribosomal RNA", at positions 57 to 305 of the family's 1533-position model. The record is from RNAcentral.